Phlebotomus papatasi is the source of this 532-nucleotide long non-coding RNA. RefSeq lists it as uncharacterized. The record is from RefSeq and is a predicted model, not a curated record. NCBI's taxonomy places the organism in Eukaryota, Metazoa, Arthropoda, Insecta, Diptera, Psychodidae. The transcript has 3 exons.
UUUUCUCACAUUACUGGAAUAUUCUAGAAGGCUGUGCCCCAGUGCAAAAGCAAAUGGCGCAGUAAAAGUAAUUCAAGUGCAAUUUCUCAGUGAAAAGUGUUUUAUAAAUGUAAAAUUUAGUGGCAUAUUAAGCUACGAGGACUUGGAAAAUAGUGUACGCAGUCAACUAACCGAAGAGGAUGGAUUCGAAAAAUUUUAGAUUCAGAGGGAGUUAGAAUCUUGCCGGCAGCAUUUCAAGAAGUCAAAACUCCGUAUUAUAUCAAACAUAUGUCACGAGGAAGAUGCGUCUGGAACCGCUGCCAGUGAAAACAUUCUCGUGGAAAAUCCAAAUGUGAUGCCUACUCUUAUUGCGAAGGAACAAAUUUAUUUUUUUUGGAGCUUUACAAGUACUUUGGAGUUCAAAGAAUUGUUCUAAUCAACGGUGCUGAGCUUUUGAGAAAAACAAGUUCACGAGAAAGAAAGAUGGCAAUUUAAAUAAUUGCUAACCAUCUUCUUCUUUAGCGGCCUCAACCCAACAAAGACGACAAAAUUG